RNAcentral lists this ribosomal RNA (448 nucleotides) under uncultured bacterium. Its description in RNAcentral is "bacterial SSU rRNA". It matches the Rfam family "Bacterial small subunit ribosomal RNA", at positions 29 to 523 of the family's 1533-position model. The record is from RNAcentral.
AAUGAACGCUGGCGGCAUGCCUAACACAUGCAAGUCGAACGAAGCCUUCGGGCUUAGUGGCGCACGGGUGCGUAACGCGUGGGAAUCUGCCCUUAGGUUCGGAAUAACAGUUGGAACGACUGCUAAUACCGGAUGAUGACGUAAGUCCAAAGAUUUAUCGCCUAGGGAUGAGCCCGCAUAGGAUUAGCUAGUUGGUGUGGUAAAGGCGCACCAAGGCGACGAUCCUUAGCUGGUCUGAGAGGAUGAUCAGCCACACUGGGACUGAGACACGGCCCAGACUCCUACGGGAGGCAGCAGUGGGGAAUAUUGGACAAUGGGCGAAAGCCUGAUCCAGCAAUGCCGCGUGAGUGAUGAAGGCCUUAGGGUUGUAAAGCUCUUUUACCCGGGAUGAUAAUGACAGUACCGGGAGAAUAAGCUCCGGCUAACUCCGUGCCAGCCGCCGCCGUAA